AGAGUUUGAUCCUGGCUCAGGAUGAACGCUGGCGGCGUGCCUAAUACAUGCAAGUCGAACGCUUCACUUCGGUGAAGAGUGGCGAACGGGUGAGUAAUACAUAAGUAACCUGGCAUCUACAGGGGGAUAACUGAUGGAAACGUCAGCUAAGACCGCAUAGGUGUAGAGAUCGCAUGAACUCUAUAUGAAAAGUGCUACGGGACUGGUAGAUGAUGGACUUAUGGCGCAUUAGCUGGUUGGUAGGGUAACGGCCUACCAAGGCGACGAUGCGUAGCCGACCUGAGAGGGUGACCGGCCACACUGGGACUGAGACACGGCCCAGACUCCUACGGGAGGCAGCAGUAGGGAAUUUUCGGCAAUGGGGGAAACCCUGACCGAGCAACGCCGCGUGAAGGAAGAAGUAAUUCGUUAUGUAAACUUCUGUCAUAGAGGAAGAACGGUGGAUAUAGGGAAUGAUAUCCCAGUGACGGUACUCUAUAAGAAAGCCACGGCUAACUACGUGCCAGCAGCCGCGGU
Molecule: ribosomal RNA, 516 nt
Filed under: uncultured bacterium
Lineage: Bacteria
Description: bacterial SSU rRNA
Rfam family: Bacterial small subunit ribosomal RNA
Source: RNAcentral